CGGGUUGUAAACCUCUUUCAGUAGGGAAGAAGCGAAAGUGACGGUACCUGCAGAAGAAGCGCCGGCUAACUACGUGCCAGCAGCCGCGGUAAUACGUAGGGCGCAAGCGUUAUCCGGAAUUAUUGGGCGUAAAGAGCUCGUAGGCGGUUUGUCGCGUCUGCCGUGAAAGUCCGGGGCUCAACUCCGGAUCUGCGGUGGGUACGGGCAGACUAGAGUGAUGUAGGGGAGACUGGAAUUCCUGGUGUAGCGGUGAAAUGCGCAGAUAUCAGGAGGAACACCGAUGGCGAAGGCAGGUCUCUGGGCAUUAACUGACGCUGAGGAGCGAAAGCAUGGGGAGCGAACAGGAUUAGAUACCCUGGUAGUCCAUGCCGUAAACGUUGGGCACUAGGUGUGGGGGACAUUCCACGUUUUCCGCGCCGUAGCUAACGCAUUAAGUGCCCCGCCUGGGGAGUACGGCCGCAAGGCUAAAACUCAAAGGAAUUGACGGGGGCCCGCACAAGCGGCGGAGCAUGCGGAUUAAUUCGAUGCAACGCGAAGAACCUUACCAAGGCUUGACAUGGACCGGACCGCCGCAGAAAUGUGGUUUCCCCUUUGGGGCCGGUUCACAGGUGGUGCAUGGUUGUCGUCAGCUCGUGUCGUGAGAUGUUGGGUUAAGUCCCGCAACGAGCGCAACCCUCGUUCCAUGUUGCCAGCGCGUAAUGGCGGGGACUCAUGGGAGACUGCCGGGGUCAACUCGGAGGAAGGUGGGGACGACGUCAAAUCAUCAUGCCCCUUAUGUCUUGGGCUUCACGCAUGCUACAAUGGCCGGUACAAAGGGUUGCGAUACUGUGAGGUGGAGCUAAUCCCAAAAAGCCGGUCUCAGUUCGGAUUGGGGUCUGCAACUCGACCCCAUGAAGUCGGAGUCGCUAGUAAUCGCAGAUCAGCAACGCUGCGGUGAAUACGUUCCCGGGCCUUGUACACACCGCCCGUCAAGUCACGAAAGUUGGUAACACCCGAAGCCGGUGGCCU
RNAcentral lists this ribosomal RNA (1008 nucleotides) under Arthrobacter sp. Its description in RNAcentral is "bacterial SSU rRNA". It matches the Rfam family "Bacterial small subunit ribosomal RNA", at positions 419 to 1436 of the family's 1533-position model. Lineage: Bacteria; Bacillati; Actinomycetota; Actinomycetes; Micrococcales; Micrococcaceae. The record is from RNAcentral.